RNAcentral lists this long non-coding RNA (471 nucleotides) under Brassica rapa (field mustard). Its description in RNAcentral is "long non-coding RNA (BRAP_LNC004698)". Lineage: Eukaryota; Viridiplantae; Streptophyta; Magnoliopsida; Brassicales; Brassicaceae. The record is from RNAcentral.
GUGUAUUCGUUAAUGUGAAUUAUAUUCAAACUGUUGUGUCUUUCCUUUUUACGUGUUGUAGAGGUUUCUUUGAAGAGGGAUAAAGUGCAAAAAAAGAAAAGAAAAAAAUCAUAAUACAGACCGGAAAGAGAAGAAUAUAAAUUUUAGUUGUAUAUCAAAAACUGUGGACCAGAGAUCUCUCCUCGAAGACAAACGGGGUUCAUUUUAAGAAAAGGCGAAUCAUUAGGGUUUAAAAAACAAUUUAUUUUGAGACUUUCGGGGUCAGAAAUAAAAGGCGUAUCAUUGAAUUUUCAGUUUUUAAAUACUAAUUUUUAGUUUAUUAGUUGAAAUUUCCCAUAAAGCGCAUAACGGAGAAGAUUAAAGUUGGAUUGGUUUAGCCGUCCCAAUACACCGUCCCUGAUGACACAUUCUCCGAAAUACCCCUUCCCGUUAAGUGAAUACACGCGUUUGCCAUUUAUUGUAGAAUACCAU